CUCUAAUGUACAAAAUUUCAGCUGUGCCGCGCUAAACGGCUUGUCUUCACAGAAUUGAGGUUCAUAUGAUGCUCAAGAUCCCUCCUGGAAGGUCAAUGACCGUGAGAGCGCAGCUGGGUUCCCCUGCAAGAAUGGCAAGCCAUUGAUGACUGAGUGAGUUGCCGUCCUUGCCUCUUCUUUCUGCUCAAAAACCCUUGCAAGCUUGCACCCUUUGCCAUCUUUGCCUGCCUUGUCGCCAUUGAUCCCGAUUAGCGACAAGAUAGAACUCCUAGCCACCUCAUCCACGUCAUCGAUUCGGAUCGUCUUUGGCACCCACACCUUGCCAUUUCCUUUGGUAUCUCCUUCCUCGUUGCAGUCUCUAGGGCGCUUUCCUGGUGUGAAGCAAUUGGACUUCGUGGAUGCUGGUGAAGCAGUGCUAAGGGUCGAACCUGUCUCGGACGGGGACUGAGGCGGCCAUGGGGCAUUCCAAGCUCCUGGAACCAUGCAGCCCCAGUAGGCAGCAGGUGCUGGGUAGAACGGAAUUGCUAUGCUGCCUGGGGUGUAACAGGCAGGUGGUGGUGCACAGCUAAAUGGCCACAUGGCCACCCCGUUCAUGCAUGGAUGCUGAACAAGUUUUGCAGAUUUCUCUGCUGUAACAUUCUCCUUUUGGUUUGAGUCUUCUGCCUUCGCAGGUCCUUCAGUGCAAGAGCCAACUGAACGUUCAUCGCCGUUCUUGAUCCCCGCUAUUGGGAUGAGCUUCUCCUUCAGGUGCUUCAUCUGCUCUGUGAGGUCUAAGCUGGACAUGUCUGAGCCGAAGCUGAGCACCGUGCCAUUCGUCUUGGCUGCAGUGCAGAGGGGAUCCAUGGGCAAAGCGGCCCUGACCCUCUGAAGGAAGUGGGAAGCAGCUGACGCGCUCUUGCUCUUGCGCCGGCCUGCACCCACAGGGACGUUGCGCAUGGCACCGCCAGCAGUCCAGUACCUCUGGCAGUUCUUGCAGAAGUG
RNAcentral lists this long non-coding RNA (981 nucleotides) under Sorghum bicolor (sorghum). RNAcentral's name for it is "long non-coding RNA (SBIC_LNC001754)". The record is from RNAcentral. Lineage: Eukaryota; Viridiplantae; Streptophyta; Magnoliopsida; Poales; Poaceae.